ACCUUAAUGUCACCAUGAUGA
RNAcentral lists this microRNA (21 nucleotides) under Nematostella vectensis (starlet sea anemone). RNAcentral describes it as "nve-miR-2038-3p". Lineage: Eukaryota; Metazoa; Cnidaria; Anthozoa; Actiniaria; Edwardsiidae. The record is from miRBase by way of RNAcentral.